Bacillus rossius redtenbacheri is the source of this 126-nucleotide small nuclear RNA. RefSeq annotates it as U4atac minor spliceosomal RNA. NCBI's taxonomy places the organism in Eukaryota, Metazoa, Arthropoda, Insecta, Phasmatodea, Bacillidae. The transcript has a single exon. The record is from RefSeq and is a predicted model, not a curated record.
UUCAUCCUUGUCUGGGAGAGCAUAAUGUCCAAUGAACGUAUUGUGAGGGCAUUGAUGCUGACACCCAAAUAAUUAAACUCGCACCCUAACCAAUUUAAAUUGGUAUAGAGUGCAAUUUUUGAAAUC